GACGAACGCUGGCGGCGUGCUUAACACAUGCAAGUCGAACGGAAAGGCCCCUUUUGGGGUACUUGCGUGGCGAACGGGCGGGUAACACGUGAGUAACCUGCCCUUGACUUCGGGAUAACUUCAGGAAACUGGGGCUAAUACCGGAUAGGAAUCCUUGCUGCCUGGUGGGGGUUGGAAAGCUUGGGCCGUUUUGGAUGGACUCGCGGCCUAUCAGCCUGCUGGUGGGGGAGUGGCUUUCCAAGGCUUUGGCGGGUAGGCGGCCUGGGAGGGCGGCCGGCCACCUUGGGGCCGGGAUUCGGGCCAGACUCCUUCGGGGGGCAGGAGGGGGGAAUUUUUCACAAAGGGCGGGAGCCCGAUGCAGGAACGCCGCGUGCGGGGUGACCGCCUUCGGGUUGGAAACCGCUUUCAGCAGGGGCGAAGCUUGGAGUGACGGUACCUGCAGAAGAAGCACCGGCUAACUACGUG
This 465-nucleotide ribosomal RNA is filed under the name uncultured bacterium. RNAcentral describes it as "partial 16S ribosomal RNA". It matches the Rfam family "Bacterial small subunit ribosomal RNA", at positions 28 to 507 of the family's 1533-position model. The record is from RNAcentral.